AGAUAGAGGUGAGCAUAUGGACUCUUGGUUAAUCUUGAAGAUGACAGCUAAAUGAAAUAAUUUGAAUGAGUGGUUGUUGAAAAUAUGGAUGCAAUCAUUAAACUAAUCAAAAACUAAUGUUCAUACUGACAAGGCAUACCGGACAUGCAUAUCAUGAGGUUGAUUGUAAUAUUUUAGUGGUAGGAUUUAAGUGUGCCACUGAUAUUAGGUUUUGUUACUUAUUUUUCAUUUGUGGUAUUCUUUUUCUCGGUUUGAAGUAGUAAAGUUCCUCUGUUCUUGAAAACCGAAGAAAAUAGUAGCAGAAGUUGUGGAUAGCAUUUGAACUUUAGUGAUGGUAAGUUUAAAAAAACUUUUAUCAAUUUUUGUUUUGUUAUAUCCCGUUUGCUCAUUGCUCAAAGAUUGGGGAGGCUGCGUGCAGGAAAAAGGAUGGAAACCUCGACGCACAAUUAUCUUAUCCAGUUGGGACGCUGAAGAAUACAGCCUGGUCUCCCUCUCUCCCUCAAUGUACAAUGCUAACAAGAUGUACUUUAUUCUUCAGGGGAAAUGAAAACCAGCUUAAGACUUAUCUUCUAAUGCAAUGACUUUAAUCCAACAAAAAUCCCAUGUUGUUAAGUAAUUCAUUGUGAAAGCUGAGUAAAAGGUUUCUUUGAUUGGUUUAAAGGUGUCAUGGAUGAUAUUGCAGUGUCACCACCAUCAAGUAAUAGAAAUGCCCACCUACAUGAUAACCGCCUACAAAGAAGGAGAUGCAGGAUCUACACUUAAUGCCAUGUUACAGAAACUGCAACAUGCUACGAAUUGGGUCGAUGUUGUCUUAGAAAGUCAUAUAAGGACACAUAAUUGCUUUUGGACUUGGCUGCAGCACAUGAAUCAUCUUGAACAGCUGCCUCUGCGUUCAAAUAUGACAAUAGCUGGUGCAAAUGCCCGUUUCUGUUGCUGGUAGUCACUAUUAAAAGGGUAUCGCUAGGGGUGAAUUACACUUUGUAAGAGAUAAAGCCUGUUGCCUCCAACGUAAAAGAUUCUGAAGUUAAAACAAUUUAUUUAGAAUGGUAUGGUCCUAACACCCCAAAGAUUGUCAGGAGAAGAGCUUCUGUACACUCACAACUGAUUUUGAAGAAAUUUUAUAAGCAGUGUGAUCCUGGUCAGUGCUCACUGUUUCAGUCUCCUUUUCUAAAUUUUAUUCCCUGCUGAAUUACUAUUUGUGUUGCACAACUCAGCAAGCAGAAAAACGACUGAAGCAACAUGUCAUUGCAACUCUUGCACCACUUUUUGUAUAGAUAGAACUGCAGCAAGCAAUGUUUUUGGAGAGACUUGAACAACUAGAACGACUAUUUUUUGGAAAAUGUUCGAGCAGCAAUUGUAACCAAGUUGACCUUAAACUAAGAUAGCCUAUUUUUUGAAAAUUACUAUAAUGGAAAAUGUUGCCAGUAGAAGCUUUGAUAAGAUCUCAAAGCUAGGGCAUGAUCCAAUUCAUCUUUUGUUUUAGAUCAUCUGCAGUGAUGAUAU
Molecule: long non-coding RNA, 1503 nt
Organism: Rosa chinensis
Lineage: Eukaryota; Viridiplantae; Streptophyta; Magnoliopsida; Rosales; Rosaceae
Exons: 8
Source: RefSeq, a predicted model, not a curated record